GGCUCUUUAGCUCAGUUGGUAGAGCAGAGGCCUGAAGAGCCUUUUGUCCCCAGUUCGAGUCUGGGAGGAGCCACCA
Molecule: transfer RNA, 76 nt
Filed under: Candidatus Saccharimonadota bacterium
Lineage: Bacteria; Candidatus Saccharimonadota
Also listed under: 1 other name
Description: tRNA-Phe
Rfam family: tRNA
About the family: Transfer RNA (tRNA) molecules are approximately 80 nucleotides in length. Their secondary structure includes four short double-helical elements and three loops (D, anti-codon, and T loops).
Source: RNAcentral